GAUGAACGCUGGCGGCGUGCCUAAUACAUGCAAGUCGAGCGAACGGACGAGAAGCUUGCUUUUCUGAUGUUAGCGGCGGACGGGUGAGUAACACGUGGAUAACCUACCUAUAAGGCUGGGAUAACUUCGGGAAACCGGAGCUAAUACCGGAUAAUAUUUUGAACCGCAUGGUUCAAAAGUGAAAGACGGUCUUGCUGUCACUUAUAGAUGGAUCCGCGCUGCAUUAGCUAGUUGGUAAGGUAACGGCUUACCAAGGCAACGAUGCAUAGCCGACCUGAGAGGGUGAUCGGCCACACUGGAACUGAGACACGGUCCAGACUCCUAAGGGAGGCAGCAGUAGGGAAUCUUCCGCAAUGGGCGAAAGCCUGACGGAGCAACGCCGCGUGAGUGAUGAAGGUCUUCGGAUCGUAAAACUCUGUUAUUAGGGAAGAACAUAUGUGUAAGUAACUGUGCACAUCUUGACGGUACCUAAUCAGAAAGCCACGGCUAACUACGUG
RNAcentral lists this ribosomal RNA (497 nucleotides) under uncultured bacterium. RNAcentral describes it as "partial 16S ribosomal RNA". It matches the Rfam family "Bacterial small subunit ribosomal RNA", at positions 28 to 507 of the family's 1533-position model. The record is from RNAcentral.